AGAUUAAGUUAUUAAGGGCGCACGGUGGAUGCCUUGGCACUAGAAGCCGAUGAAGGACGUUACUAACGACGAUAUGCUUUGGGGAGCUGUAAGUAAGCUUUGAUCCAGAGAUUUCCGAAUGGGGAAACCCAGCAUGAGUUAUGUCAUGUUAUCGAUAUGUGAAUACAUAGCAUAUCAGAAGGCACACCCGGAGAACUGAAACAUCUUAGUACCCGGAGGAAGAGAAAGAAAAUUCGAUUCCCUUAGUAGCGGCGAGCGAAACGGGAAGAGCCCAAACCAACAAGCUUGCUUGUUGGGGUUGUAGGACACUCUAUACGGAGUUACAAAGGACGACAUUAGACGAAUCAUCUGGAAAGAUGAAUCAAAGA
RNAcentral lists this ribosomal RNA (368 nucleotides) under Staphylococcus aureus. Its description in RNAcentral is "partial 23S ribosomal RNA". It matches the Rfam family "Bacterial large subunit ribosomal RNA", at positions 1 to 361 of the family's 2925-position model. Lineage: Bacteria; Bacillati; Bacillota; Bacilli; Caryophanales; Staphylococcaceae. The record is from RNAcentral.